This 555-nucleotide ribosomal RNA is filed under the name Colletotrichum gloeosporioides. Its description in RNAcentral is "eukaryotic LSU rRNA". It matches the Rfam family "Eukaryotic large subunit ribosomal RNA", at positions 75 to 627 of the family's 3401-position model. The record is from RNAcentral. Lineage: Eukaryota; Fungi; Ascomycota; Sordariomycetes; Glomerellales; Glomerellaceae.
UUGCCUCAGUAACGGCGAGUGAAGCGGCAACAGCUCAAAUUUGAAAUCUGGCCCCUAGGCCCGAGUUGUAAUUUGCAGAGGAUGCUUUUGGUGCGGUGCCUUCCAAGUUCCCUAGAACGGGACGCCAGAGAGGGUGAGAGCCCCGUACAGUUGGACACCAAGCCUUUGUAAAGCUCCUUCGACGAGUCGAGUAGUUUGGGAAUGCUGCUCAAAAUGGGAGGUAUAUUUCUUCUAAAGCUAAAUACCGGCCAGAGACCGAUAGCGCACAAGUAGAGUGAUCGAAAGAUGAAAAGCACUUUGAAAAGAGGGUUAAACAGCACGUGAAAUUGUUAAAAGGGAAGCGCUUGUGACCAGACUUGCGUCCGGUGAAUCACCCAGCUCUCGCGGCUGGGGCACUUCGCCGGCUCAGGCCAGCAUCAGCUCGCUGUCGGGGACAAAAGCUUCGGGAACGUAGCUCUCUUCGGGGAGUGUUAUAGCCUGUUGCAUAAUACCCUUCGGCGGGCUGAGGUACGCGCUCCGGCAAGGANGUCUGGCANUANNGUANGUCAUGAUCCU